GAUGAACGCUGGCGGCGUGCCUAAUACAUGCAAGUCGAGCGAACGGACGAGAAGCUUGCUUCUCUGAUGUUAGCGGCGGACGGGUGAGUAACACGUGGAUAACCUACCUAUAAGACUGGGAUAACUUCGGGAAACCGGAACUAAUACCGGAUGAUAUUUUGAACCGCAUGGUUCAUAAGUGAAAGACGGUCUUGCUGUCACUUAUAGAUGGAUCCGCGCUGCAUUAGCUAGUUGGGAAGGUAACGGCUUACCAAGGCAACGAUGCAUAGCCGACCUGAGAGGGUAAUCAGCCACACUGGAACUGAGACACGGUCCAGAGUCCUACGGGAGGCAGCAGUAGGGAAUCUUCCGCAAUGGGCGAAAGCCUGACGGAGCAACGCCGCGUGAGUGAUGAAGGUCUUCGGAUCGUAAAACUCUGUUAUUAGGGAAGAACAUAUGUGUAAGUAACUGUGCACAUCUUGACGGUACCUAAUCAGAAAGCCACGGCUAACUACGUG
RNAcentral lists this ribosomal RNA (497 nucleotides) under uncultured bacterium. RNAcentral's name for it is "partial 16S ribosomal RNA". It matches the Rfam family "Bacterial small subunit ribosomal RNA", at positions 28 to 507 of the family's 1533-position model. The record is from RNAcentral.